This 326-nucleotide unclassified non-coding RNA is filed under the name Hevea brasiliensis (rubber tree). Lineage: Eukaryota; Viridiplantae; Streptophyta; Magnoliopsida; Malpighiales; Euphorbiaceae. The record is from RNAcentral.
UUGCAUAGUCAUAGGUAUGAAAACCAACCAAGUCAGCAGCAAGAACUGCUCGGAGCAGCUCUGAUCUAGACGGCAGUGUCCUGUGUAUUUCCGAGGAUGGAAAGGGUGUGUGUAGAAACCAACCGACUUUCAUUUGGCUGUUGUAAUCCUUGAGACAUUUUGGCAGGAACAUGAGAUGGUAGUCAUGACACCAUACCACAUCACCUUCUUCGUAAUGUUCAUUCACAACAUCAGCAAACAUUUGAUUUGCUUUCUUAUAAGCAGCAAACUGAGACUGGAAACUUCUGGUAGUCGCAAGGCGGUCUUCUUGCGGAAGUCCAAGAUAA